Hevea brasiliensis (rubber tree) is the source of this 1356-nucleotide RNA transcript. RefSeq lists it as uncharacterized. The transcript is spliced from 4 exons. The record is from RefSeq and is a predicted model, not a curated record. Lineage: Eukaryota; Viridiplantae; Streptophyta; Magnoliopsida; Malpighiales; Euphorbiaceae.
GUAAACAGUGCCUGCCAAACGGAAAAUUUUAUGCACAACGGCUAUACUAUGUUCAUUCAUCAUCUGAACUCUUAAGUAAAUUCUACCAAAAUUAAUGAUGAGAGUAUAUUCCGUCUACCUCUCCAUGACUUGCGGUGCUUAUUUAUAGAAUCCUCUGUAACACUUUUCGACUCACUCCUCUCAUCUUUGCCAGAAAAGGGGCCAUGGCUCACAAGAUAUUCAGUUUCCUGGUGGAUGCAACUCUGUCCGGGGUGCUUUCACUCAUCAUAUAUCAAAUCAUCCUUGCUUGGAAUCUCAAUGACGACUCGAAAGGCCUUCAAGAUUCUCUCACCAUGAUUCGUGCUGUGCUUCAAGAUGCAGACGAACAACAACACAGGAGAGAACCUGUGAGGCUUUGGCUGAAGAAGCUCAAAGAUGUAGCUUAUGAGGGUGAAGCCGUGUUAAAUAAGUUAAAGAACGACGAUAUUCGACAAAUGGUUGAGAUUCUAGACCAAUCAGGAACAGAGGUGCAGAAGAUACUGUUGCAGACUUGUGUGUAGAAGUCGCAGAUCUGUUUCCAACUCUUAGGGCUUGUAAAAUUGUCUUAAAGUUUCAUGCACGCUUGAAGAUACUGUGGACUGGUAGCUAUGGAACUUCAUGAAGGGAAUGUUGGGAGAUAGUCUUCCAUAUAGUACUUCACGAGAGACUGCGAGAUGCAAGAUUAUGCCAGACGCACAGCUGCAUUAUUUUCUCUGCAAAUUUCUGCUUUUAUUCAAGCCAAUUGGAAAAGAAAAAAAAAAUCAUUCAACUGAGAAGAAAGGUAAGUGAGACAUUCUAUUUUAUUUCCAAAAGAUAUUUGAAUUUCAGUCAUUAGUAAACUCUAAUUACAAUGUUCACAGAUGAACUGUUUAUUGUUCUGCUUUCAGUAUGUCUCAACUUUGUCCCACUGAUAGACAAAAAAUUUAGCCUUUUGUUAGCUCCUUCUGGGAUUAUGACUGCUAAAUUUUGAGUUCAAGCAAUAAGACUAAACAGAAAUAGAGAUAAGUUUACAUCACAACUCGAGCUUUGAGUCUCAAGUUCUCAUCACGGUGCCAACAUCCUUCCGCUAAAAUCGACUAGAGAACCAAGAAGCCUCACUUUGCAAUUGGAAGCCAUUAGAUGGAAGAGAAAUGCUGAGUUCAAGCUGCAAUAGUAAACAUAAUUGACUAGACAACUGUGGCUUGUUUAACUUUUUUACUUCCUGCAUAUUGGUAUGAGUUGUAAAUUACAUAUUGCAGUAGAUUUCUUUUGUGCUACAUUGAGACUGAACUCCGUUUCACAGACUGUAAGAAAGAUCAAGGAAAUGAAAUGAAAUGAGACCGUGAAACACUUUGUUUU